CUGGUAUCGAACAAUAGAUUUUAUACUUUCUACCACCCAAUGCACAAGCAGAACCUCUCAGAGAAAGCGAGCCAAAGAUGCUUUCUGCACCCUGCAGCCCUUAACGCCCUCAAACAUUUGUGACACGUUUUUACCUGUUAUGUGGUUUUGCACUUGCGUGUCUCAGUCCAGCUUCCAUUUAAACUCCGCCAUGGUUUCGGGUAGCUCAGAAGCUAUAAUUAACGUGAGCAGAAUCAUGUCCGACUGCUUUUGUGUUGGACCGUGUUAGGUCAGAGUUGGGAAUCAAAGAUUCUGUGUCUUUAUCUUUUAAGCAAAUGAAGUGACUCCAAGUGAAUGGAUGCUCCCUUUUUAAAGAAAAAAUGUUGACAUUUGAUAUGCAUGCAAAAUGGAGUCACAGCAUUGAAGUAGCUUAUUUUAAAUAUCUUGUCUACCCAUCCCUUAUUUAGAAGUAAGUAUACAGAUUAUACUAAGUGUAACUCUGCAAUCCACAGUGAUGUCCUUUUUGUCACCCUUUUCCUUUUGUGUGUUUUGUUGGGCUGGCAACCCCUGGGGUAAUGCUUUUCCUCGUUAGUAAAUUUUGGGGUUUAUUUCUUCUGGUCUGCGUGCCUGUUGCCCUACUGACAAUGCACAGCAUCAUUCCACUCAGACCACAUCUGCAGCACAUACCCUUGAGUGCUGUCGUUGUAAUCAACAACAUAGGCACGGUGAAUUAUGUCUGACAGUUACUCACUAAACUCCUACUUUAAAAUCACUCCACUGGUUUUCUUUGCAUUUUGAAGUUCCUGUGUGCACAUGUUGCACCUCUGUAUCGCAACGCGAAAAGCAUUACUCAAAAAUGAGUCAUGCAGUGUUCUUUACAGUCAUUUGAGGAUGGUUCAAGAUUAUAUCACUGUAGUUGUUACAAAUCAUAUAAAAUCACACUUUGAUGUUAAGCUGGAGGCAAAGCUACUUAGAAUCAUAGACUUGCAACACAGAAACAGACACUUCAGCGCAUUAAGUCUGUACUGGUGCCUUUGCCUGCAUGAACCAUCUAACCUAAUCAUAAUCAGCUGGGGCAUCAACGUUAGUAGAAGUUUAAACAUAACCUCAGACCUAUUGGUUUUGCUCCCGUUCCUGAGGAAUCUAGAUCUUGUGGAUGGAGAAGGCAAUGGAGCACUGUCCAGGGUCUGCUGUGUGUGUUGUGUGUGUCUCUGGACCCUGAAGCUCCUCAAAGACCAGGUGACCUCUUCAAAAUGGCUUGUAUUUGCCUAAAAAUUGCAAAAGUGAGGUCACAGCUUUGAAAUGAGAGGAAAAGCUGGUGUAACGUUCAGAGUUUUUACACAGCAAAAGCCACAGCAUGUUGGAAUCAAAAUGGGAAAGAACGGACUGAUGUCGGUUUUGUUCUUCAUUUAUUGAGGGCAAGCUGAUUUGUCAUAAUUUCAAUACUGUACAUUUCUGAAAUCUGGAAGCAACCGUUGUUUAUUAAUCUGCAACAACCCCUCAUCAUGUUGAAGGAGUCUCCACAAACUCAGAUUCUUAACACUUGAUGCCCACUCAAGGUGAUGAAUCCUCUGUCCAAUUUCACCUUGGUUAGCAGCGAAAGAUGUCUUAAACAAUGGACAGAGAGGGGUAUGAAGAGGCUGAGGAAGCAAAAUCCAGAGCUGAAAGUCUAGACGGUAGAGGCACUGUCGCUAGCAUUAGAAAGAAUCCUGUGACUCCAGUGACACUCAAGUGACAGUGAAGGAAUGGAGAUAUAUUGCCAAGUCAGAAUGGUGAGUGGCUUGGAGGCGAA
Molecule: long non-coding RNA, 1771 nt
Organism: Rhincodon typus (whale shark)
Lineage: Eukaryota; Metazoa; Chordata; Chondrichthyes; Orectolobiformes; Rhincodontidae
Exons: 3
Source: RefSeq, a predicted model, not a curated record